Molecule: ribosomal RNA, 403 nt
Filed under: Rhodopseudomonas sp.
Lineage: Bacteria; Pseudomonadati; Pseudomonadota; Alphaproteobacteria; Hyphomicrobiales; Nitrobacteraceae
Description: bacterial SSU rRNA
Rfam family: Bacterial small subunit ribosomal RNA
Source: RNAcentral
CGGGGAAUAUUGGACAAUGGGCGCAAGCCUGAUCCAGCCAUGCCGCGUGAGUGAUGAAGGCCCUAGGGUUGUAAAGCUCUUUUGUGCGGGAAGAUAAUGACGGUACCGCAAGAAUAAGCCCCGGCUAACUUCGUGCCAGCAGCCGCGGUAAUACGAAGGGGGCUAGCGUUGCUCGGAAUCACUGGGCGUAAAGGGUGCGUAGGCGGGUUUCUAAGUCAGAGGUGAAAGCCUGGAGCUCAACUCCAGAACUGCCUUUGAUACUGGAAGUCUUGAGUAUGGCGGAGGUGAGUGGAACUGCGAGUGUAGAGGUGAAAUUCGUAGAUAUUCGGAAGAACACCAGUGGCGAAGGCGACUCACUGGACAAGUAUUGACGCUGAGGUACGAAAGCGUGGGGAGCAAACAG